Molecule: long non-coding RNA, 554 nt
Organism: Gallus gallus (chicken)
Lineage: Eukaryota; Metazoa; Chordata; Aves; Galliformes; Phasianidae
Source: Ensembl
GAGAUCUGUCUGCAUAAGUUCUAUUGUUGCGAGAGUCAGAUCACUUUCAGGAAAGUCUAAUCCAACGCCACAAGGAUCCAUGGGCUGGGAGAAGAAACUGUGGAGACUUCUCACCUGGAGCUUUGGGAGAAGCCAAUAAGAAAACUACGAGCUCCUUUUCUCCUCCAGAGAAGAUCAAGAUGAUCCUCCCAUCUCAGGAUCCACUAGAGGUGUCCUUCAGGAGUUCCGCAGGUUGCCUUGGUUUCCUAGAGGAGCUGUCCUGCAAGACUCCUCAGAGGCACAUCCCCAAAGAGAGAGCUUUCUAAUUCUGUAGUAGUAAUGAAAGAAAACAAAAGAAUCCCAGAGCUGCUGGAGCUACAAACUGCAGCGUGACGGUGUGAGUUACCAUGUUGUGUCUUGUGGCUGCCUCUCGCUGUGCCCUGUCCUGUGGCCCACGUGCUGAGGGACAGAGAAGCAAUGUCUAAGAGUCAUUCAGAGUGACACGUGGGCAGAUGAGAUCUAAACAAACCGAAUGGAUGUAGGAAGCCAGUUGUAUCCAACAGCACUGCCAGGAG